GCAGUCGAACGGCAGCACGGGUGCUUGCACCUGGUGGCGAGUGGCGAACGGGUGAGUAAUAUAUCGGAACGUGCCCUAGAGUGGGGGAUAACGUAGCGAAAGUUACGCUAAUACCGCAUACGAUCUACGGAUGAAAGUGGGGGAUCGCAAGACCUCAUGCUCGUGGAGCGGCCGAUAUCUGAUUAGCUAGUUGGUGGGGUAAAAGCCUACCAAGGCGACGAUCAGUAGCUGGUCUGAGAGGACGACCAGCCACACUGGGACUGAGACACGGCCCAGACUCCUACGGGAGGCAGCAGUGGGGAAUUUUGGACAAUGGGGGAAACCCUGAUCCAGCAAUGCCGCGUGUGUGAAGAAGGCCUUCGGGUUGUAAAGCACUUUUGUCAGGAACGAAACGGUGGGGGCUAAUACCUCCUGCUAAUGACGGUACCUGAAGAAUAAGCACCGGCUAACUACGUGCCAGCAGCCGCGGUAAUACGUAGGGUGCGAGCGUUAAUCGGAAUUACUGGGCGUAAAGCGUGCGCAGGCGGUUGUGCAAGACAGAUGUGAAAUCCCCGGGCUUAACCUGGGAAUUGCAUUUGUGACUGCACGGCUAGAGUGUGUCAGAGGGGGGUAGAAUUCCACGUGUAGCAGUGAAAUGCGUAGAUAUGUGGAGGAAUACCGAUGGCGAAGGCAGCCCCCUGGGAUAACACUGACGCUCAUGCACGAAAGCGUGGGGAGCAAACAGGAUUAGAUACCCUGGUAGUCCACGCCCUAAACGAUGUCUACUAGUUGUCGGGUCUUAAUUGACUUGGUAACGCAGCUAACGCGUGAAGUAGACCGCCUGGGGAGUACGGUCGCAAGAUUAAAACUCAAAGGAAUUGACGGGGACCCGCACAAGCGGUGGAUGAUGUGGAUUAAUUCGAUGCAACGCGAAAAACCUUACCUACCCUUGACAUGUACGG
RNAcentral lists this ribosomal RNA (941 nucleotides) under uncultured Burkholderiales bacterium. Its description in RNAcentral is "bacterial SSU rRNA". It matches the Rfam family "Bacterial small subunit ribosomal RNA", at positions 57 to 993 of the family's 1533-position model. Lineage: Bacteria; Pseudomonadati; Pseudomonadota; Betaproteobacteria; Burkholderiales. The record is from RNAcentral.